Molecule: ribosomal RNA, 436 nt
Filed under: uncultured bacterium
Lineage: Bacteria
Description: partial 16S ribosomal RNA
Rfam family: Bacterial small subunit ribosomal RNA
Source: RNAcentral
ACGGGAGGCAGCAGUGGGGAAUAUUGGGCAAUGGAGGAAACUCUGACCCAGCAACGCCGCGUGGAGGAAGAAGGUCUUCGGAUCGUAAACUCCUGUCCUCAAAGACGAGAAGAAGACGGUAAUUGAGGAGGAAGCCCCGGCUAACUACGUGCCAGCAGCCGCGGUAAUACGUAGGGGGCAAGCGUUGUCCGGAAUGAUUGGGCGUAAAGGGCGCGUAGGCGGCCUGUUAAGUCUGGAGUGAAAGUCCUGCCUUUAAGGUGGGAAUUGCUUUGGAUACUGAUGGGCUUGAGUGCAGGAGAGGUAAGUGGAAUUCCCAGUGUAGCGGUGAAAUGCGUAGAGAUUGGGAGGAACACCAGUGGCGAAGGCGACUUACUGGACUGUAACUGACGCUGAGGCGCGAAAGUGUGGGGAGCAAACAGGAUUAGAUACCCUGGUA